RNAcentral lists this long non-coding RNA (1800 nucleotides) under Amborella trichopoda. RNAcentral describes it as "long non-coding RNA (ATRI_LNC002314)". Lineage: Eukaryota; Viridiplantae; Streptophyta; Magnoliopsida; Amborellales; Amborellaceae. The record is from RNAcentral.
GAAGAACAAUUCAUAAGAGCGCUUGGCCAGCAAUUGUGAAAAAGGCAGUAUUGAGGUAACUUCUAAAAAGACCUGUAAAAGUUGGAUUUCAAUAAGUGUAAUGAUGGGCAAAUGAUAACCUAGUCAAGGCACACGAAAUUUCAAAGAAAUAUAAAAAAUUAGUAACAAAAUAUCCAGUCAAUAAAAUAAAGUACAAAUGAAUAAACUAGACAAACAUGUACAGCUACUCAAUUUGAUAUUUAUCAAUAAAAAAGAAAAAAAUAAUCCCAAUCAUAUAUGUUUAAGAAUGUGAUCCAUACGAUCUCAAUCCAUAGCAGCAAUUGCCUAUAAAACUAGCAUUCAACCUUGUUAUCAACAAAGAAAAGAUGAAUGGUUUUAAUUAAGAAUUGCAAGUUACAAUGCCCCUAAAAUGGCAUUUUAGUGCAUAUAGGUGGACAAGAACAUUGACAAGUCUUCGAAAGCCGUAAUUUGUGAAUGAGGUAUGCAAUUUAACCAAAUAUCGCUAGUAAACUAUCCCAAAUGAAGUGACUAAAUUACCCUAUUGGCACUUUUUUUUUUUUUAAUGAAAGGUUGACUAAAAAUAAAACCAACAAAGUUUUUUUUGUUGGCACUUUUUCACUCUCAAAAGGUCCCAAACCUUUCUAGGACCCAGGUAGAUCAACCUCAUUUCAAGAAUAAACUCCCAUUUCUUCCAAAACUUACACUUAACCAUAAAUUAAAAAAAAAAAAGAAAAAAAAAAACUCCUCCAGUAGCGGGAUGCACCAGUGCUCGUGAAAAAAAAAAAAGGGAAAUUGAAUUGUCAAAAUAACGAAAAUGGAUAUGGACAAAGACCACACAAAAUACCCCUACAGCCAAAUUACAGUAAGAAAUGCAAAGAGAACAAGAUAUGAACUUCACAAAAAAAUAAAAAAAGAUGCCCAAAAACUACAAAUGUGGCCCGUUCACAGAUAGGCUGAAUGGCAAUAAAGGUAUAAAAAAAGCAUUCCAAGUAAUUUACAGAAACACGUGAAAUGAAAUAAUAUUUGGUUCCUUAAGAAGUAUUUAAAAAGCCCAAAACCAGAACUUGUGUGCAAUAAAGAAAUAAAUUCAACUUCCCCAACGUUCUGCAAGUUCUUUCAAGAUAUUCAACACAUAAAAAUUCUUACACCUGAUUAAGUCCAGAACCAUCUAUGACACUCAGAAUCAACAAUUUACGAUUGAGACAAAUCCAAAACUCCAAAUCACCACAUAGAACCAGGAAAAAAAAAUAGAAAAAAAAAAUAAGGAAAACAAGCAUUGAAUCAGUAAAAUGCAACAUAAAGACUGCAAAUUUAAGCCACAAACAGGGAGGGAAAAAAAAAAGAGAGAGAGAGAGAAAUGCAACCUAAAAGAACCACUGCGGCCGGAUUAAUGAUAACCUGAAUAAAUUCAAGUAACUCGAUUUCAAACCACACAAAAGCUCAGAGACAUUCCAAAUGGAAAUCCAGAUUUCCAAACAAAUCCCCAAUCUUUCACCUUUAGUUACGAUACCCUAUUCAUGGAUUCCUGAUACACAAGGAAGAUUUACAGAGAGAGAAAGAGAAUGACCAUACCUUAUAUAAUCAAAAAGCAGGCCGCUUCAAACAAAGCAGAUGGGAGAGGCGGGACUUAGCGUCGAGGCAGAAAAGAUCACAACUCACAAGGGCGCCAUGCUAGAGAGAAAAAGAGCAAUAUUACAAGCGGGCUAGGGCUCGGCUCUGUAAAAUGGAAGUGACAUACGAACUGCUGACGAAAAUGGGGACUUAUAGUGAUAAAAAACAAAAAUGUCCCCCUUCUCACGC